GGUUAAAGGUACCCGUACCGCAAACCGACACAGGUGGGUGAGGAGAGUAUCCUAAGGCCAGCGAGAGAACUGUUGUUAAGGAACUCGGCAAAAUGACCCCGUAACUUAGGGAUAAGGGGUGCCACCAUCAGGUGGCCGCAGAGAAUAGGCCCAAGCGACUGUUUACCAAAAACAUAGGUUUCUGCUAAGUCGCAAGACGAUGUAUAGGAGCUGACGCCGGCCCGGUGCUGGAAGGUUAAGGGGAUCUGUUAGAGCAAUCGAAGCAGUGAACUUAAGCCCCAGUAAACGGCGGCCGUAACUAUAACGGUCCUAAGGUAGCGAAAUUCCUUGUCGGGUAAGUGCCGACCCGCACGAAAGGCGUAACGAUUUGGGCACUGUCUCAACAACAGACACGGUGAAAGUGUAAUUCCGGUGAAGAUGCCGGAUACCUGCGACAGGACGGAAAGACCCCAUGGAGCUUUACUGUAGCUUGACAUUGGGUCUUGGUACUACAUGUACAGGAUAGGUGGGAGGCUUUGAAACCAGGACGCCAGUUUUGGCGGAGCCAUCCUUGGGAUACCACCCUUGUAGUACUGGGACUCUAACCAUAGGCCAUGAAUCUGGUCUUG
RNAcentral lists this ribosomal RNA (608 nucleotides) under Clostridioides difficile. RNAcentral's name for it is "bacterial LSU rRNA". It matches the Rfam family "Bacterial large subunit ribosomal RNA", at positions 1630 to 2248 of the family's 2925-position model. Lineage: Bacteria; Bacillati; Bacillota; Clostridia; Peptostreptococcales; Peptostreptococcaceae. The record is from RNAcentral.